RNAcentral lists this ribosomal RNA (312 nucleotides) under uncultured bacterium. Its description in RNAcentral is "bacterial SSU rRNA". It matches the Rfam family "Bacterial small subunit ribosomal RNA", at positions 37 to 358 of the family's 1533-position model. The record is from RNAcentral.
UGGCGGCGAUCCAACACAUGAGGAUGAGCGAGAAAGCUCCUUCGGGAGCAAGUAAAGCGGCGGAUUGGCGAGUAACACGUGAGAAUCUGCCCUGUAGUGAAGGAUACCUUUGAGAAAUUGAAGUUAAUACUGCAUGAGUCCUUCGGGAGAAAGGCGUCUUUUAUGUCGCCGCUACAGGAUGAGCUUGCGGACUAUCAGCUAGUUGGUGAGGUAAAUGCUUACCAAGGCUAUGACGGUUAACCGGCCUGAGAGGGUGUACGGUCACACAGGCACUGAGAUACGGGCCUGACUCCUACGGGAGGCAUCAGUGGG